AGCUUAGUGGCGAACGGGUGAGUAACGCGUAAUCAACCUGCCCUUCAGAGGGGGACAACAGUUGGAAACGACUGCUAAUACCGCAUACGAUUCAACUUCGGCAUCGAGGAUGAAUGAAAGGUGGCCUCUAUUUAUAAGCUAUCGCUGAAAGAGGGGAUUGCGUCUGAUUAGCUAGUUGGAGGGGUAACGGCCCACCAAGGCGAUGAUCAGUAGCCGGUCUGAGAGGAUGAACGGCCACAUUGGGACUGAGACACGGCCCAGACUCCUACGGGAGGCAGCAGUGGGGAAUCUUCCGCAAUGGACGAAAGUCUGACGGAGCAACGCCGCGUGAGUGAUGACGGCCUUCGGGUUGUAAAGCUCUGUUAAUCGGGACGAAAGGUCCUCUUGUGAAUAAUUAGAGGAAUUGACGGUACCGGAAUAGAAAGCCACGGCUAACUACGUGCCAGCAGCCGCGGUAAUACGUAGGUGGCAAGCGUUGUCCGGAAUUAUUGGGCGUAAAGCGCGCGCAGGCGGAUUAGUCAGUCUGUCUUAAAAGUUCGGGGAUUAACCCCGUGAUGGGAUGGAAACUGCUAAUCUAGAGUAUCGGAGAGGAAAGUGGAAUUCCUAGUGUAGCGGUGAAAUGCGUA
This 626-nucleotide ribosomal RNA is filed under the name uncultured bacterium. RNAcentral describes it as "bacterial SSU rRNA". It matches the Rfam family "Bacterial small subunit ribosomal RNA", at positions 89 to 692 of the family's 1533-position model. The record is from RNAcentral.